RNAcentral lists this ribosomal RNA (799 nucleotides) under uncultured Terrimonas sp. RNAcentral describes it as "bacterial SSU rRNA". It matches the Rfam family "Bacterial small subunit ribosomal RNA", at positions 28 to 818 of the family's 1533-position model. The record is from RNAcentral. Lineage: Bacteria; Pseudomonadati; Bacteroidota; Chitinophagia; Chitinophagales; Chitinophagaceae.
GAUGAACGCUAGCGGCAGGCUUAAUACAUGCAAGUCGAGGGGCAGCAGGUCCGUAGCAAUACGGAUGCUGGCGACCGGCAAACGGGUGCGGAACACGUACACAACCUUCCUUUGAGCGGGGAAUAGCCCGGGGAAACCCGGAUUAAUACCUCAUAGUAUGGUGAAGAGGCAUCUCUUUACUAUUAAAGAUUUAUCACUUAAAGAUGGGUGUGCGGCUGAUUAGGUAGUUGGCGGGGUAACGGCCCACCAAGCCUACGAUCAGUAACUGGUGUGAGAGCACGACCAGUCACACGGGCACUGAGACACGGGCCCGACUCCUACGGGAGGCAGCAGUAAGGAAUAUUGGUCAAUGGACGAAAGUCUGAACCAGCCAUGCCGCGUGGAGGAUGAAGGUCCUCUGGAUUGUAAACUUCUUUUAUAUGGGACGAAAAAAGGCUUUUCCAGGUCGUCUGACGGUACCAUAUGAAUAAGCACCGGCUAACUCCGUGCCAGCAGCCGCGGUAAUACGGAGGGUGCAAGCGUUAUCCGGAUUCACUGGGUUUAAAGGGUGCGUAGGUGGGUUGGUAAGUCAGUGGUGAAAUCCCCGAGCUUAACUUGGGAACUGCCAUUGAUACUAUUAAUCUUGAAUACCGUGGAGGUCAGCGGAAUAUGUCAUGUAGCGGUGAAAUGCUUAGAUAUGACAUAGAACACCAAUUGCGAAGGCAGCUGGCUACGCGAAUAUUGACACUGAUGCACGAAAGCGUGGGGAUCAAACAGGAUUAGAUACCCUGGUAGUCCACGCCCUAAACUAUGGAUACUC